CCUGCACGGCCGCCGGUGAAUCAAAAAGGGUCCCAGGAAACCUGUGAAUGUUGAAGGAAAUUCGUCUGUGAAUUUUUGGUGUUCAAGGAGGAGUCAGUAUUUAUAUUCAUCUUUUAAACUGGGAAGAUUUAUAUUUUAUUUUAAAACUUCUUGAUAUUUACAAUGAAUGGACACAGUGAUGAAGAAAGUGUUAGAAACAGUAGUGGAGAAUCAAGAUCAAUAAAAAUCCUUUGUUGGAAAGUCUGUCUGGAAAGGCACUUUCAUACACUGCUGGGGUACAACUCCUACAGAAGAAAAUUUACCAUAAUCAAGCAAAACUGCAAAAAUAUUUAUCCUUUCUCCAUCAUUCCCACUACUAGGAAUCCAUCUCAAAGAUACAGAAAUACUAAAAUAUUCCUCUAAGACUAUUCACUGUGACAUUAUUUAUAACAGCAAAGGAGUAGAAACAACACAAAUGACCAUCAAU
This is a long non-coding RNA of Diceros bicornis minor, 466 nucleotides long. RefSeq lists it as uncharacterized. The record is from RefSeq and is a predicted model, not a curated record. The transcript is spliced from 3 exons. Lineage: Eukaryota; Metazoa; Chordata; Mammalia; Perissodactyla; Rhinocerotidae.